CAAGGAAUAGUUUAAACAGAACUUCAGCUUUGGGAGUUGAUGGUGNGGCGGUUGCUUCUUCCUUGA
This 66-nucleotide transfer RNA is filed under the name Tragelaphus scriptus (bushbuck). RNAcentral describes it as "tRNA-Pro". Lineage: Eukaryota; Metazoa; Chordata; Mammalia; Artiodactyla; Bovidae. The record is from RNAcentral.